ACUUCUGAAUAGUUGACCUCGGAUCAGGUAGGAAUACCCGCUGAACUUAAGCA
RNAcentral lists this ribosomal RNA (53 nucleotides) under Fusarium pseudograminearum. Its description in RNAcentral is "partial 28S ribosomal RNA". The record is from RNAcentral. Lineage: Eukaryota; Fungi; Ascomycota; Sordariomycetes; Hypocreales; Nectriaceae.